GAUGAAGAACGCAGCGAAAUGCGAUACGUAAUGUGAAUUGCAGAAUUCAGUGAAUCAUCGAGUCUUUGAACGCACAUUGCGCCCCCUGGUAUUCCGGGGGGCAUGCCUGUCCGAGCGUCAUUUCAACCCUCAAGCCCCCGGGCUUGGUGUUGGGGAUCGGCGAGCCUCCGCGCCCGCCGUCCCCUAAAUCUAGUGGCGGUCUCGCUGUAGCUUCCUCUGCGUAGUAGCACACCUCGCACUGGGAAACAGCGCGGCCACGCCGUUAAACCCCCAACUUCUGAACGUUUGACCUCGGAUCAGGUAGGAAUACCCGCUGAACUUAAGCAUAUCAAUAAGCGGAGGA
RNAcentral lists this unclassified non-coding RNA (343 nucleotides) under soil metagenome. RNAcentral describes it as "partial contains 5.8S ribosomal RNA, internal transcribed spacer 2, and large subunit ribosomal RNA". The stretch from base 1 to 120 matches the Rfam family "5.8S ribosomal RNA", at positions 35 to 154 of the family's 154-position model. The record is from RNAcentral.